AGAGUUUGAUCCUGGCUCAGGACGAACGCUGGCUGCGUGCUUAACACAUGCAAGUCGAACGCUGAAGCCGACAGCUUGCUGUUGGUGGAUGAGUGGCGAACGGGUGAGUAACACGUGAGUAACCUGCCCCUGAUUUCGGGAUAAGCCUGGGAAACUGGGUCUAAUACCGGAUAUGACCAAUCCUUGCAUGAGGGUUGGUGGAAAGUUUUUCGAUCGGGGAUGGGCUCGCGGCCUAUCAGCUUGUUGGUGGGGUAAUGGCCUACCAAGGCGACGACGGGUAGCCGGCCUGAGAGGGCGACCGGCCACACUGGGACUGAGACACGGCCCAGACUCCUACGGGAGGCAGCAGUGGGGAAUAUUGCACAAUGGGGGAAACCCUGAUGCAGCGACGCAGCGUGCGGGAUGACGGCCUUCGGGUUGUAAACCGCUUUCAGCAGGGAAGAAGCGAAAGUGACGGUACCUGCAGAAGAAGUACCGGCUAACUACGUGCCAGCAGCCGCGGUAAUACGUAGGGUACGAGCGUUGUCCGGAAUUAUUGGGCGUAAAGAGCUCGUAGGUGGUUGGUCACGUCUGCUGUGGAAACGCAACGCUUAACGUUGCGCGUGCAGUGGGUACGGGCUGACUAGAGUGCAGUAGGGGAGUCUGGAAUUCCUGGUGUAGCGGUGAAAUGCGCAGAUAUCAGGAGGAACACCGGUGGCGAAGGCGGGACUCUGGGCUGUAACUGACACUGAGGAGCGAAAGCAUGGGGGGCGAACAGGAUUAGAUACCCUGGUAGUCCAUGCCGUAAACGUUGGGCACUAGGUGUGGGGGACAUUCCACGUUCUCCGCGCCGUAGCUAACGCAUUAAGUGCCCCGCCUGGGGAGUACGGUCGCAAGGCUAAACUCAAAGGAAUUGACGG
This 899-nucleotide ribosomal RNA is filed under the name uncultured bacterium. RNAcentral describes it as "bacterial SSU rRNA". It matches the Rfam family "Bacterial small subunit ribosomal RNA", at positions 8 to 916 of the family's 1533-position model. The record is from RNAcentral.